Molecule: ribosomal RNA, 791 nt
Filed under: uncultured bacterium
Lineage: Bacteria
Description: bacterial SSU rRNA
Rfam family: Bacterial small subunit ribosomal RNA
Source: RNAcentral
AGAGUUUGAUCAUGGCUCAGAUUGAACGCUGGCGGCAUGCCUUACACAUGCAAGUCGAACGGCAGCGCGGGGCAACCUGGCGGCGAGUGGCGAACGGGUGAGUAAUAUAUCGGAACGUACCCUGGAGUGGGGGAUAACGUAGCGAAAGUUACGCUAAUACCGCAUACGAUCUAAGGAUGAAAGUGGGGGAUUCGCAAGAACCUCAUGCUCCUGGAGCGGCCGAUAUCUGAUUAGCUAGUUGGUGGGGUAAAGGCCUACCAAGGCAUCGAUCAGUAGCUGGUCUGAGAGGACGACCAGCCACACUGGAACUGAGACACGGUCCAGACUCCUACGGGAGGCAGCAGUGGGGAAUUUUGGACAAUGGGCGCAAGCCUGAUCCAGCAAUGCCGCGUGAGUGAAGAAGGCCUUCGGGUUGUAAAGCUCUUUUGUCAGGGAAGAAACGGUGAGGGCUAAUAUCCCUUGCUAAUGACGGUACCUGAAGAAUAAGCACCGGCUAACUACGUGCCAGCAGCCGCGGUAAUACGUAGGGUGCAAGCGUUAAUCGGAAUUACUGGGCGUAAAGCGUGCGCAGGCGGUUUUGUAAGUCUGUCGUGAAAUCCCCGGGCUCAACCUGGGAAUUGCGAUGGAGACUGCAAGGCUAGAAUCUGGCAGAGGGGGGUAGAAUUCCACGUAGCAGUGAAAUGCGUAGAGAUGUGGAGGAACACCGAUGGCGAAGGCAGCCCCCUGGGUCAAGAUUGACGCUCAUGCACGAAAGCGUGGGGAGCAAACAGGAUUAGAUACCCUAGUAGUCC